UGUAAGCGUAUACCAAAGUUGUUGCAGUUAAAACGCUCGUAGUCGGAAUUUGGCAGUUCCGGAUGUGUGCACGUCGUGUGCGCACUUCGCGGGGAUUGCUUUUGUGGUCUUGCGUAGGAUGAGGCACUUUUAUUAGUGAACGUCCUCACGCAACCACUUUUUACUGUGAGAAAAUCAGAGUGCUCAAAGCAGGCAUUUGCCGUGAAUGUAUUAGCAUGGAAUAAUAGAAUAGGACUUGGUUCUAUUUUGUUGGUUUGUUGGGACUGAGUAAUGAUUAAGAGGGACAGUUGGGGCAUUUGUAUUUCGGUGCUAGAGGUGAAAUUCUUAGAUUACCGAAAGACAAACUGCUGCGAAAGCGUCUGCCAAGGAUGUUUUCAUUGA
This 381-nucleotide ribosomal RNA is filed under the name uncultured eukaryote. RNAcentral's name for it is "partial 18S ribosomal RNA". It matches the Rfam family "Eukaryotic small subunit ribosomal RNA", at positions 592 to 976 of the family's 1831-position model. The record is from RNAcentral.